GGGUUCGAUCAUGGCUCAGAACGUACGCUGGCGGCACGCCUAACACAUGCAAGUCGAACGAAGUAGCAAUACUUAGUGGCAGACGGGUGAGUAACAUGUAGGUAUCUACCCUUUGGCCUGGAAUAACACGAGGAAACUUGUGCUAAUACCGGAUAAGUCUUUACGGAGAAAGCUUUAUGCACCAUUGGAUGAGCCUGCACUUGAUUAGUUUGUUGGUGGGGUAAUGGCCUACCAAGACUGUGAUCAAUAGCUGAUUUGAGAGGAUGAUCAGCCACAUUGGGACUGAGACACGGCCCAAACUCCUACGGGAGGCAGCAGUGGGGAAUCUUGCACAAUGGAGGAAACUCUGAUGCAGCGAUGCCGCGUGAGUGAAGAAGGCCUUUGGGUUGUAAAGCUCUUUCGCUAGGGAAGAUAAUGACGGUACCUAGUAAAGAAGCCCCGGCUAACUCCGUGCCAGCAGCCGCGGUAAUUC
Molecule: ribosomal RNA, 472 nt
Filed under: uncultured bacterium
Lineage: Bacteria
Description: bacterial SSU rRNA
Rfam family: Bacterial small subunit ribosomal RNA
Source: RNAcentral